UGGGGAAUAUUGGACAAUGGGGGAAACCCUGAUCCAGCCAUGCCGCGUGGGUGAAGAAGGCCCUAGGGUUGUAAAGCCCUUUCGCUCGCGAAGAUGAUGACGGUAGCGAGUAAAGAAGCCCCGGCUAACUCCGUGCCAGCAGCCGCGGUAAUACGGAGGGGGCUAGCGUUGUUCGGAAUUACUGGGCGUAAAGCGCGCGUAGGCGGAUGUUCAAGUCAGGGGUGAAAGCCCCGGGCUCAACCCGGGAACUGCCCUUGAAACUGAACAUCUUGAGUCCGGAAGAGGAUGGCGGAAUACCCAGUGUAGAGGUGAAAUUCGUAGAUAUUGGGUAGAACACCAGUGGCGAAGGCGGCCAUCUGGUCCGGAACUGACGCUGAGGUGCGAAAGCGUGGGGAGCAAACAGGAUUAGAUACCCGUGUAGUCC
RNAcentral lists this ribosomal RNA (424 nucleotides) under uncultured prokaryote. Its description in RNAcentral is "bacterial SSU rRNA". It matches the Rfam family "Bacterial small subunit ribosomal RNA", at positions 355 to 796 of the family's 1533-position model. The record is from RNAcentral.